UAAAUGGAAGCCAAUUUAGGCACUUAUCUGUUAAUUAAGUCUCUGCGGAAUAACCGCCCAUUUAG
Molecule: transfer RNA, 65 nt
Filed under: Magelona mirabilis
Lineage: Eukaryota; Metazoa; Annelida; Polychaeta; Spionida; Magelonidae
Description: tRNA-Asn
Source: RNAcentral